This 250-nucleotide unclassified non-coding RNA is filed under the name plant metagenome. RNAcentral's name for it is "partial contains small subunit ribosomal RNA, internal transcribed spacer 1, and 5.8S ribosomal RNA". The record is from RNAcentral.
GUAGGUGAACCUGCGGAAGGAUCAUUAACACGUGAUACUCACGUAUUAGCCCAUCGCGAAUUUGUUAUCUGUCCCGUGGUCGUGUAUUUGCAGUGGCAAGAGAGGGAAGGGUGUGGAUCACGUUCGCGUGGUUCUAACUCACUUGUCUAGCCGUCCGACGGCAAGCUCGUAUCGAUCAUGGUAGAUGAACGCCGUCAGCCUUAAAGCCUGCACCUUGGCCGGUUGUCCGCGUGACCCCCUAACCAUAUUA